This 64-nucleotide transfer RNA is filed under the name Lasioderma serricorne (cigarette beetle). RNAcentral's name for it is "tRNA-Tyr". The record is from RNAcentral. Lineage: Eukaryota; Metazoa; Arthropoda; Insecta; Coleoptera; Ptinidae.
AGUAGAAUGGCCGAGUAUAGGCGAUAAACUGUAAAUUUAUAAACGAAAUUAUUUUCUUCUACUA